Molecule: unclassified non-coding RNA, 283 nt
Filed under: Hevea brasiliensis (rubber tree)
Lineage: Eukaryota; Viridiplantae; Streptophyta; Magnoliopsida; Malpighiales; Euphorbiaceae
Source: RNAcentral
GUCUUUGAAAGAGUAGCAUACAAGCAACAAACAAUAGUUUUGUUUAUCGUUAUAACAUUUGUUAUUUCUCUUGUUCCAAUACCAUUAUUUUAAUAAAUGAUCUUUUUAGGAGCGGUUGGGGGUUAUUUUUUAUCAAAUAUCAUUUCACCAAUAUGGUUACUUCAUUAGCAUCAUGCAUUUUCAAUUUUCUUUUGGGACAUGGAAUUUGCCCAGUUACCAUGGUGAAAAUCUUGAUUAUAUCUCCAUUAAUGGGCUUCAAUGUUUUAAUAAAAAUUGUUGCGAG